UACAGAGGUGGCAAGCGUUGUUCGGAAUUACUGGGCGUAAAGCGCGUGUAGGCGGCUCUUCAAGUCAGGCGUGAAAGCCCCGGGCUCAACUCGGGAACUGCGCUUGAUACUGUCGAGCUAGAGUGUGGAAGGGGCGAUUGGAAUUCCGUGUGUAGCGGUGAAAUGCGUAGAUAUCUGGAGGAACACCGGUGGCGAAGGCGGCAUCCUGGACCAACACUGACGCUGAGUGAGCGAAAGCCAGGGGAGCAAACAGG
Molecule: ribosomal RNA, 254 nt
Filed under: uncultured bacterium
Lineage: Bacteria
Description: partial 16S ribosomal RNA
Rfam family: Bacterial small subunit ribosomal RNA
Source: RNAcentral